GGCGAAAUGGCCGAGUGGUCGAUGGCGGACGAUUUAAGUACACCUUUCAGGUUCUUUACUAAUCUCGUCUUCCCGAGAGGGAGCGUGGGUUCGAACCCCACUUUCGUCA
Diplogelasinospora grovesii is the source of this 109-nucleotide non-coding RNA. NCBI's taxonomy places the organism in Eukaryota, Fungi, Ascomycota, Sordariomycetes, Sordariales, Diplogelasinosporaceae. The record is from the annotation of a GenBank genome assembly.